GCCCGUUAAUGGGUGAUGGCGUGCCUUUUGUAGAAUGAACCGGCGAGUUACGAUUUGAUGCAAGGUUAAGCAGUAAAUGUGGAGCCGUAGCGAAAGCGAGUCUGAAUAGGGCGUUUAGUAUUUGGUCGUAGACCCGAAACCAGGUGAUCUACCCUUGGUCAGGUUGAAGUUCAGGUAACACUGAAUGGAGGACCGAACCGACUUACGUUGAAAAGUGAGCGGAUGAACUGAGGGUAGCGGAGAAAUUCCAAUCGAACCUGGAGAUAGCUGGUUCUCUCCGAAAUAGCUUUAGGGCUAGCCUCAAGUGAUGAUUAUUGGAGGUAGAGCACUGUUUGGACGAGGGGCCCCUCUCGGGUUACCGAAUUCAGACAAACUCCGAAUGCCAAUUAAUUUAACUUGGGAGUCAGAACAUGGGUGAUAAGGUCCGUGUUCGAAAGGGAAACAGCCCAGACCACCAGCUAAGGUCCCAAAAUAUAUGUUAAGUGGAAAAGGAUGUGGCGUUGCCCAGACAACUAGGAUGUUGGCUUAGAAGCAGCCAUCAUUUAAAGAGUGCGUAAUAGCUCACUAGUCGAGUGACACUGCGCCGAAAAUGUACCGGGGCUAAACAUAUUACCGAAGCUGUGGAUUGUCCUUUGGACAAUGGUAGGAGAGCGUUCUAAGGGCGUUGAAGCAUGAUCGUAAGGACAUGUGGAGCGCUUAGAAGUGAGAAUGCCGGUGUGAGUAGCGAAAGACGGGUGAGAAUCCCGUCCAC
Molecule: ribosomal RNA, 751 nt
Filed under: Staphylococcus aureus
Lineage: Bacteria; Bacillati; Bacillota; Bacilli; Caryophanales; Staphylococcaceae
Description: partial 23S ribosomal RNA
Rfam family: Bacterial large subunit ribosomal RNA
Source: RNAcentral